UACGAAGGGGGGCUAGCGUUGCUCGGAAUUACUGGGCGUAAAGGGCGCGUAGGCGGAUGUCUAAGUUGGGGGUGAAAUCCCGGGGCUCAACCUCGGAACAGCCUUCAAUACUGGAUAUCUUGAGUUCGGGAGAGGUGAGUGGAAUGCCGAGUGUAGAGGUGAAAUUCGUAGAUAUUCGGCGGAACACCAGUGGCGAAGGCGACUCACUGGCCCGAUACUGACGCUGAGGCGCGAAAGCGUGGGGAGCAAACAGG
This 254-nucleotide ribosomal RNA is filed under the name uncultured bacterium. Its description in RNAcentral is "partial 16S ribosomal RNA". It matches the Rfam family "Bacterial small subunit ribosomal RNA", at positions 524 to 776 of the family's 1533-position model. The record is from RNAcentral.